UACGGGGGGGGUAAGCGUUGUUCGGAAUUACUGGGCGUAAAGGGCUCGUAGGCGGCCAACUAAGUCAUACGUGAAAUCCCUCAGCUUAACUGGGGAACUGCGUGUGAUACUGGAUGGCUUGGAUUUGGGAGAGGGAUGCGGAAUUCCAGGUGUAGCGGUGAAAUGCGUAGAUAUCUGGAGGAACACCAAUUGCGAAGGCAGCUCGCUGGGACGUUACUGACGCUGAGACGCGAAAGCGUGGGGAGCAAACAGG
This 253-nucleotide ribosomal RNA is filed under the name uncultured bacterium. Its description in RNAcentral is "partial 16S ribosomal RNA". It matches the Rfam family "Bacterial small subunit ribosomal RNA", at positions 524 to 776 of the family's 1533-position model. The record is from RNAcentral.